GAUGAACGCUGGCGGCGUGCCUAAUACAUGCAAGUCGAGCGAACGGACGAGAAGCUUGCUUCUCUGAUGUUAGCGGCGGACGGGUGAGUAACACGUGGAUAACCUACCUAUAAGACUGGGAUAACUUCGGGAAACCGGAGCUAAUACCGGAUAAUAUUUUGAACCGCAUGGUUCAAAAGUGAAAGACGGUCUUGCUGUCACUUAUAGAUGGAUCCGCGCUGCAUUAGCUAGUUGGUAAGGUAACGGCUUACCAAGGCAACGAUGCAUAGCCGACCUGAGAGGGUGAUCGGCCACACUGGAACUGGGACACGGUCCAGACUCCUACAGGAGGCAGCAGUAGGGAAUCUUCCGCAAUGGGCGAAAGCCUGACGGAGCAACGCCGCGUGAGUGAUGAAGGUCUUCGGAUCGUAAAACUCUGUUAUUAGGGAAGAACAUAUGUGUAAGUAACUGUGCACAUCUUGACGGUACCUAAUCAGAAAGCCACGGCUAACUACGUG
RNAcentral lists this ribosomal RNA (497 nucleotides) under uncultured bacterium. Its description in RNAcentral is "partial 16S ribosomal RNA". It matches the Rfam family "Bacterial small subunit ribosomal RNA", at positions 28 to 507 of the family's 1533-position model. The record is from RNAcentral.